Molecule: ribosomal RNA, 1396 nt
Filed under: human gut metagenome
Description: bacterial LSU rRNA
Rfam family: Bacterial large subunit ribosomal RNA
Source: RNAcentral
CCAAUCGAACUCGGAGAUAGCUGGUUCUCCCCGAAAUAGCUUUAGGGCUAGCCUCAUGUUAGAUAUCCGGAGGUAAAGCACUGAAUGGCCUAGCGUCCGAGAGGAUAGCGAAGCCUAUCAAACUAAGAAUGCCGGAAUAUUGAUGCAUGGGAGUCAGACAGUGUGAGAUAAAUCUCAUUGUCAAAAGGGAAACAGCCCAGAUCUACAGCUAAGGUCCCAAAUUGUAUCUAAGUGGAAAACGAUGUGGAAAUACGCAGACAACCAGGAUGUUGGCUCAGAAGCAGCCACUCAUUUAAAGAGUGCGUAAUAGCUCACUGGUCGAGCGUCUCUGCGCGGAAAAUUUAACGGGGCUAAGAUACAAACCGAAGCUUAGGCUGCACUUUUAGUGCGGGGUAGGGGAGCGUUGUGUAAGCGGAGAAACAGUAGCGUAAGCGGCUGUGGAGUUUACAGAAGUGAGAAUGCCGGAAUGAGUAGCGCGAAUGUGGUGAGAAUCCACAUGGCCGGAAACCUCAGGUUUUUGGAGGAAGGUUCGUCCGCUCCAAGUUAGGCGGGAGCUAAGGUGAGGCCGAAAGGCGUAGCCGAUGCACAGACGGUAGAGAUUCCGUCCCCACCGAAAGAUUUAAGCGCAGGGACACUUUUAGAAGGUCGGAGCCAGGUGUUGGUUCUGGUAGAGAUCGAGGGAAGAUUAGUACCGAAGUCCAGCUGGAUAAGAGGCGAGAAAAGCUGCGUGUAUAUCUAAGGUGCCCGUACCGCAAACCGACACAGGUAGGUAGGAAGAAGAUUCUAAGGCCAACGGGAGAAGGGUUGUUAAGGAACUCGGCAAGUUGACCCCGUAACUUCGGAAUAAGGGGUGCUCAUGAAAGUGAGCCGCAGAGAAUAGGCCCAGGCAACUGUUUACCAAAAACACAGGUUUGUGCUAAAUCGAAAGAUGACGUAUACGAGCUGACGCCUGCCCGGUGCUGGAAGGUUAAAAGGAGAUGUGCAAGCAUUGAAUUGAAGCCCCAGUGAACGGCGGCCGUAACUAUAACGGUCCUAAGGUAGCGAAAUUCCUUGUCAGGUAAGUUCUGACCCGCACGAAAGGCGUAAUGAUUUGGGCACUGUCUCAACAGCCCGCCCGGCGAAAUUGUAGUACCGGUGAAGAUGCCGGUUACCCGCGACAAGACGGAAAGACCCCAUGGAGCUUUACUGUAGCCUAAUAUUGGGUUUCGGUGUUGCAUGCACAGGAUAGAUGGGACGCUAGGAAGUGAGUGCUUUGGCAUUCAUGGAGCGGCCGUUGGGAUACCAUCCUUGCGACAUUGGAAUUCUAACCUGCGCCUUUGAAUCAAGGCGGGGGACAUUGUUAGGUGGGCAGUUUGACUGGGGCGGUCGCCUCCUAAAGAGUAACGGAGGCGUUCAA